GGAAAGAUUUAUUACUUGCUCAGCAAAUAUCUGCACUAAAACUAAACAAACUAACUUUGUGCCUCAAAUGACAUACUCAUGUAGUAUUCUAGAUCAUUAUUUACCCCUGUUACUGUCUGAUACAUAAACCCUUCAGUAACGUGUGCUAUUUUCCAUGUGUAUUUAAAAUCUUGGGGUCAUUUGGAGGUCAUUUUCUAGGACUCCUCCUUACAUAAGAGUAAUAAAUGGAGGUUAUAAAAAGAGCAGAAUGCACAGUUAGAGCUCUACCUCAGUAUUUCAAUCAUCUGCACUUGUGAUUGCUUGUGACCUUUCAGUUAUGAUCAUAUUAUUGUAAACAUUGUUUCAUUGAUCUGGGUUUUAAAUAAAUGAUGUAUUUUUUGCUAGGAGCCUCCUGGAGACACCUACAGAGCCAUCACCAGCACACUGAAGGCUCUUCUGAAAGACAAAAGUCUGACAUUCCAGAAGAGCAGUUGGUAUGGUGAUGAUCUCCGUCCUGCUGCCUGGGACUACGUAUUCAGCCUGGACCUUCUCUGUGCACAAAUGGGCUGGAUUUGGACCUUCUCCCAUGUUAUACGGGCGACUUGGCCAACAUGGCCUUAAGGAGAACGUGGCAGCAUCAGUGGAGGAUCUGGUGAAAAGCAUAACUGAGUUCAGGGGACAAAAAGAUUUGCCGUGGACGCUUUAGAAUCGUGGAAGAAAGACCUCACAAAUCCCAUUCCUCCAGCCGUCUCCAAGUGCCUGAAGCA
Molecule: long non-coding RNA, 746 nt
Organism: Silurus meridionalis
Lineage: Eukaryota; Metazoa; Chordata; Actinopteri; Siluriformes; Siluridae
Exons: 3
Source: RefSeq, a predicted model, not a curated record